RNAcentral lists this non-coding RNA (30 nucleotides) under Rattus norvegicus (Norway rat). Lineage: Eukaryota; Metazoa; Chordata; Mammalia; Rodentia; Muridae. The record is from RNAcentral.
UCGGCUACAAAGUGAGUUUGAGGAUAGCCU